GCCACCUUAGCUCAGCUGGUAGAGCAACACUUUCGUAAAGUGGAGGUCCCCGGUUCGAUUCCGGGAGGUGGCUCCA
RNAcentral lists this transfer RNA (76 nucleotides) under Candidatus Yanofskybacteria bacterium RIFOXYA1_FULL_44_17. RNAcentral describes it as "tRNA-Thr". It matches the Rfam family "tRNA". Rfam says of the family: Transfer RNA (tRNA) molecules are approximately 80 nucleotides in length. Their secondary structure includes four short double-helical elements and three loops (D, anti-codon, and T loops). Lineage: Bacteria; Candidatus Yanofskyibacteriota. The record is from RNAcentral. RNAcentral also lists the same sequence under 7 other names.